This is a non-coding RNA of Cinara cedri, 775 nucleotides long. The record is from the annotation of a GenBank genome assembly. NCBI's taxonomy places the organism in Eukaryota, Metazoa, Arthropoda, Insecta, Hemiptera, Aphididae.
UGUAAAGUAAAAUUUUGAAUGAUUAGAGAUGAUAAGAAAGUAUAUAGUAGAAUUUAAACUGGAAGCAGUAAACUGGUAGAUAGGGAGUCCCGGAGAGUAAUAGUAUUCAUUAUUAUCAAGCAUUAGAUAGGUGCACUAAAACAACGGAAGAAGUGCGCAUAGCAAUACAAAAUAAUAGACUUCUUGCAAGCCAAAUGUUAUUAUUUAACAAAACUAAACAUCAUUUGCUUAGUAUUGAAAAAUACUACAACCAAUUUAGCAAGUUAUUUGGAUUGGUAUAAAUAUACUAGCCACUAUUCUUUUGCCAACUCCACAGACAACUUUUACCCCCUAUAAUACCUAUUACAGUCAAGUAACACAUAUCCGCAAACAUUAUACAACCUAUGAAUCAUUGUUUUUUGUUACUGUCUGUUGCUUUUUACGCUGAAGUUCUCUUCUUUUACUAUCCCAAGUAUAGUAAUACAUGACAAUUCUAUUUUCUAUGAGCACUAUUGUUCCAUCAUAAAAUUGCACCAUAUCCAUGACUUUUCUUUGAGCUUCAUUAAAAAAUUCGAACCACUUUUCACGAUAAGCUGGAUUGUGUAAUAUUGCAACUCCUUCGUUUUUAUUAUUAGACUUUUUAUUAAGCAUUUCAAUCUCAUCGAGAGUGUAAGACAUAUCAUCCCCUCUAAUUGAUUAUAAAAAUAUUUACCUUUAAAAGAGAAAUAUACAUAAACAUCUCCCUCGAUCCUUCAUUUAUUAUUGCAUUAGUAAAUGAUACUACAGUAUAUAAUAA